Molecule: non-coding RNA, 367 nt
Organism: Oncorhynchus mykiss (rainbow trout)
Lineage: Eukaryota; Metazoa; Chordata; Actinopteri; Salmoniformes; Salmonidae
Source: RefSeq, a predicted model, not a curated record
UGCCAUGAUGCCAGGUAUACCUUGACGCUAUUGCCAUGAUACCAGGUAUACCUUGACGUUAUUGCCAUGAUGCUAGGUUAUCCUUGACGUUAUUGCCAUGAUGCCUGUUAUACCUUGACGUUAUUGCCAUGAUGCCAGUGUCAAGUCUCUGACAUUAUUUUGAACGUGUUUUAGUCGGCUAACUGAUUGAUCCUGCGGUCUGGAACAGCCCCACGUCUCUGUUCAACCACCAGACCUCCAUGUUUUAAUAAACACUCCGAACCACCAAACAGACAUGUUUUAAUAAACACUCCGAACCACCAGACAGACAUGUUUUAAUAAACACUCUGAACCACCAGACAGACAUGUUUUAAUAAACACUCCGAAC